GGCGAAAGCAUGACGGAGCAAGACCGCGUGAGGGAGGAAGGCUCUUGGGUCGUAAACCUCUUUUCUCAGGGAAGAACACAAUGACGGUACCUGAGGAAUAAGCAUCGGCUAACUCCGUGCCAGCAGCCGCGGUAAUACGGAGGAUGCAAGCGUUAUCCGGAAUGAUUGGGCGUAAAGCGUCCGCAAGUGGCAAUGUAAGUCUGCUGUUAAAGAGUCUAGCUCAACUAGAUAAAAGCAGUGGAAACUACAUAGCUAGAGUACGUUCGGGGCAGAGGGAAUUCCUGGUGUAGCGGUGAAAUGCGUAGAGAUCAGGAAGAACACCGGUGGCGAAGGCGCUCUGCUAGGCCGUAACUGACACUGAGGGACGAAAGCUAGGGGAGCGAAUGGGAUUAGAUACCCCAGUAGUCCUAGCCGUAAACGAUGGAUACUAGGCGUGGCUUGUAUCGACCCGAGCCGUGCCGUAGCUAACGCGUUAAGUAUCCCGCCUGGGGAGUACGCCGGCAACGGUGAAACUCAAAGGAAUUGACGGGGGCCCGCACAAGCGGUGGAGUAUGUGGUUUAAUUCGAUGCAACGCGAAGAACCUUACCAAGGCUUGACAUGUCGCGAAUCCUGGUGAAAGCUGGGAGUGCCUUCGGGAGCGCGAACACAGGUGGUGCAUGGCUGUCGUCAGCUCGUGUCGUGAGAUGUUGGGUUAAGUCCCGCAACGAGCGCAACCCUCGUUUUUAGUUGCCAGCAUUAAGUUGGGCACUCUAGAGAGACUGCCGGUGACAAACCGGAGGAAGGUGGGGAUGACGUCAAGUCAGCAUGCCCCUUACGCCUUGGGCUACACACGUACUACAAUGCUCCGGACAGAGGGCAGCAAGCAUGCGAAUGCAAGCAAAUCCCGUAAACCGGAGCUCAGUUCAGAUCGCAGGCUGCAACUCGCCUGCGUGAAGGAGGAAUCGCUAGUAAUUGCAGGUCAGCAUACUGCAGUGAAUUCGUUCCCGGGCCUUGUACACACCGCCCGUCACACCAUGGAAGCUGGUAGUGCCCGAAGUCAUUACUCCAACCUUUCGGGGAGGAGGAUGCCUAAGGCAGGACUGGUGACUGGGGUGAAGUCGUAACAAGGUAGCCGUACCGGAAGGUGUGGCUGGAUCACCUCCUUU
This 1146-nucleotide ribosomal RNA is filed under the name uncultured Nostoc sp. Its description in RNAcentral is "bacterial SSU rRNA". It matches the Rfam family "Bacterial small subunit ribosomal RNA", at positions 374 to 1533 of the family's 1533-position model. Lineage: Bacteria; Bacillati; Cyanobacteriota; Cyanophyceae; Nostocales; Nostocaceae. The record is from RNAcentral.